GGGUGAGUAAUGCCUAGGAAUCUGCCUGGUAGUGGGGGACAACGUCUCGAAAGGGACGCUAAUACCGCAUACGUCCUACGGGAGAAAGUGGGGGAUCUUCGGACCUCACGCUAUCAGAUGAGCCUAGGUCGGAUUAGCUAGUUGGUGAGGUAAUGGCUCACCAAGGCGACGAUCCGUAACUGGUCUGAGAGGAUGAUCAGUCACACUGGAACUGAGACACGGUCCAGACUCCUACGGGAGGCAGCAGUGGGGAAUAUUGGACAAUGGGCGAAAGCCUGAUCCAGCCAUGCCGCGUGUGUGAAGAAGGUCUUCGGAUUGUAAAGCACUUUAAGUUGGGAGGAAGGGCAUUAACCUAAUACGUUAGUGUUUUGACGUUACCGACAGAAUAAGCACCGGCUAACUCUGUGCCAGCAGCCGCGGUAAUACAGAGGGUGCAAGCGUUAAUCGGAAUUACUGGGCGUAAAGCGCGCGUAGGUGGUUUGUUAAGUUGGAUGUGAAAUCCCCCGGGCUCAACC
This 515-nucleotide ribosomal RNA is filed under the name Pseudomonas sp. Its description in RNAcentral is "bacterial SSU rRNA". It matches the Rfam family "Bacterial small subunit ribosomal RNA", at positions 104 to 614 of the family's 1533-position model. The record is from RNAcentral. Lineage: Bacteria; Pseudomonadati; Pseudomonadota; Gammaproteobacteria; Pseudomonadales; Pseudomonadaceae.